AUGAUAAAAGAAAAAAGGUAAAUAUCUGAGGGUGUGUGUUUGUGUGUGUGUGUGGCUUAGCUGUAAAUGUUCUUGGCAGGUUGUCUGCUCUCCUGUCUCCUCCGGCCCACAUCGGUUCACUCCUCAGUACCACCUUUUUUAUUCUCAGUCACUUGUCAUCUGUCUGUCGGAUCUCUUCUCAAUCAGCAUUACUUCUUUGGUGUUUGUAAAGUUGUGUGUUGGCCUCCGUUUCACCUUUCUCUGAAAGGUAAUCCGUAAAGCACACAGGCACAAUGCACAAAAGUAUUUGCUGAUGAACAAACUCAUUGUCCACUUCUUUUCUCCCCCAGGGUCUGCACCCAAUGGGACCCCCUUAAAAAAAACAAAGUUGUCGGGGUCUGUGAGUUUGCUGUGUAUUUGUGUUUGCCUGCUAUUUACUCUGCUUGGUCACUAGAUGGUUGGAGUUCACAGGUGCAUAGGGGACAGGUGCUUCGCAUUGACCAAUUACCUGGAGGUGUAUUUAGGCUGGAAGCUGUCAGCACUUCAAUGCCUGAGUAUUAGCCACCAGUGGUAACAAACUAUUGCUCUAGUUUUUGCUUUCCUGCUUCUUCCAGUACUCUGAGUAAUUCAAGUGUGUCCUCCUCCUCAGGUUGUUUCCAGAGCUGGCUGAGUUCAAACUGGUUUCCAGACUCUAUAGAGGGUUCUCUGACUUCUGGAUAAGGGUUUCCAGUUAUCUCCUUUGGAUCAAGUUCAAGCUGGCAUCUUCCUGGCUCUGCGACCAUCCGGCUCAAGUCACAAGCGAACCCUGUCCACCCUCAAACCAGUUCUCAUGCAAGUACCUCCAACCUGUGUAACACACCAUCAUUCCACUGUCAUCACACAGUCCUGGAUUAGAGCUCUUAAGGAUCUACCUUUGUGUGGCUAACCCCUGGAAAGAUCUACCUCCACAGAAGUGCUCCUGUGUUGCGCUCUCAGACCCCCCAUAUCUCAUCCCUCUGGCGGUUCAUCUUCCUUCCCCAUUGGUAAAUUAACCGGUCCUGGAUCUCAAACCCAUAUCACUCCUGUGAAAAUAAAACUUUUAAAGUUUC
Molecule: long non-coding RNA, 1067 nt
Organism: Girardinichthys multiradiatus
Lineage: Eukaryota; Metazoa; Chordata; Actinopteri; Cyprinodontiformes; Goodeidae
Exons: 2
Source: RefSeq, a predicted model, not a curated record